This 76-nucleotide transfer RNA is filed under the name Agarum clathratum. RNAcentral's name for it is "tRNA-Asn". It matches the Rfam family "tRNA". Rfam says of the family: Transfer RNA (tRNA) molecules are approximately 80 nucleotides in length. Their secondary structure includes four short double-helical elements and three loops (D, anti-codon, and T loops). Further hydrogen bonds mediate the characteristic L-shaped molecular structure. tRNAs have two regions of fundamental functional importance: the anti-codon, which is responsible for specific mRNA codon recognition, and the 3' end, to which the tRNAs corresponding amino acid is attached (by aminoacyl-tRNA synthetases). tRNAs cope with the degeneracy of the genetic code in two manners: having more than one tRNA (with a specific anti-codon) for a particular amino acid; and 'wobble' base-pairing, i.e. permitting non-standard base-pairing at the 3rd anti-codon position. Lineage: Eukaryota; Phaeophyceae; Laminariales; Agaraceae. The record is from RNAcentral. RNAcentral also lists the same sequence under 2 other names.
UUCUUCAAUAGCUCAGUUGGUAGAGCAUGUGGCUGUUAACCAUAAAGUCGUUGGUUCAAAUCCGACUUGGGGAGAC